This 253-nucleotide ribosomal RNA is filed under the name uncultured bacterium. RNAcentral describes it as "partial 16S ribosomal RNA". It matches the Rfam family "Bacterial small subunit ribosomal RNA", at positions 524 to 776 of the family's 1533-position model. The record is from RNAcentral.
UACGUAGGGUGCAAGCGUUAAUCGGAAUUACUGGGCGUAAAGCGUGCGCAGGCGGCUUUGCAAGACAGAUGUGAAAUCCCCGGGCUCAACCUGGGAACUGCAUUUGUGACUGCAAGGCUGGAGUACGGCAGAGGGGGAUGGAAUUCCGCGUGUAGCAGUGAAAUGCGUAGAUAUGCGGAGGAACACCGAUGGCGAAGGCAAUCCCCUGGGCCUGUACUGACGCUCAUGCACGAAAGCGUGGGGAGCAAACGGG